This 541-nucleotide ribosomal RNA is filed under the name uncultured delta proteobacterium. RNAcentral describes it as "bacterial SSU rRNA". It matches the Rfam family "Bacterial small subunit ribosomal RNA", at positions 1 to 525 of the family's 1533-position model. The record is from RNAcentral. Lineage: Bacteria; Deltaproteobacteria.
UAGAGUUUGAUCCUGGCUCAGAACGAACGCUGGCGGCAGGCCUAACACAUGCAAGUCGAGCGUGAAAGGGACUUCGGUCCUGAGUAAAGCGGCGCACGGGUGAGUAACACGUGAAUAAUCUGCCCUCAUGACCGGGAUAACAGACCGAAAGGAUUGCUAAUACCGGAUAAGCCCACGAAUCAAACGGGUGCGUGGGAAAAGCAUGGGAUUCUUCGGAACCAUGUGCGUGAGGAUGAGUUCGCGUCCCAUUAGAUAGUUGGUGAGGUAAUGGCUCACCAAGUCGACGAUGGGUAGCUGGUCUUAGAGGAUGAUCAGCCACACUGGGACUGAGACACGGCCCAGACUCCUACGGGAGGCAGCAGUGGGGAAUCUUGCGCAAUGGAGGAAACUCUGACGCAGCCAUGCCGCGUGAGUGAUGAAGGCCUUCGGGUUGUAAAGCUCUGUCUAAGGGGAAAAAUGAUGCGAUGUCGAAUAGGCAUGGCAAGUGAUGGUACCCUUAAAGAAAACACCGGCUAACUCCGUGCCAGCAGCCGCGGCAAUA